AACGCUAGCUACAGGCUUAACACAUGCAAGUCGAGGGGAAACGACAUCGAAAGCUUGCUUUUGAUGGGCGUCGACCGGCGCACGGGUGAGUAACGCGUAUCCAACCCGCCCACCACUUGGGGAUAACCUUGCGAAAGUAAGACUAAUACCCAAUGAUAUCUCUAGAAGGCAUCUGAAAGAGAUUAAAGAUUUAUCGGUGAUGGAUGGGGAUGCGUCUGAUUAGCUUGUUGGCGGGGUAACGGCCCACCAAGGCAACGAUCAGUAGGGGUUCUGAGAGGAAGGUCCCCCACAUUGGAACUGAGACACGGUCCAAACUCCUACGGGAGGCAGCAGUGAGGAAUAUUGGUCAAUGGGCGAGAGCCUGAACCAGCCAAGUAGCGUGCAGGAAGGCGGCCCUAUGGGUUGUAAACUGCUUUUAUAAGGGAAUAAAGUGAGAGUCGUGACUCUUUUUGCAUGUACCUUAUGAAUAAGGACCGGCUAAUUCCGUGCCAGCAGCCGCGGUAAUACGGAAGGUUCGGGCGUUAUCCGGAUUUAUUGGGUUUAAAGGGAGCGUAGGCCGGAGAUUAAGCGUGUUGUGAAAUGUAGGCGCUCAACGUCUGCACUGCAGCGCGAACUGGUUUCCUUGAGUACGCACAAAGUGGGCGGAAUUCGUGGUGUAGCGGUGAAAUGCUUAGAUAUCACGAAGAACUCCGAUUG
RNAcentral lists this ribosomal RNA (696 nucleotides) under uncultured bacterium. RNAcentral's name for it is "bacterial SSU rRNA". It matches the Rfam family "Bacterial small subunit ribosomal RNA", at positions 32 to 715 of the family's 1533-position model. The record is from RNAcentral.